This is a non-coding RNA of Leptonychotes weddellii (Weddell seal), 465 nucleotides long. The record is from RefSeq and is a predicted model, not a curated record. Lineage: Eukaryota; Metazoa; Chordata; Mammalia; Carnivora; Phocidae.
ACCCCGCGCGCGGGGAGCGAGGAGGGGUAUGCGCGCCCAGCCCUCCCACGCACGCUCCGGUGAGCCGGCCGCCGCACGGACGGCCAGAUGGACGGCUAAGGAGCUCCCGUACCCGGACACUCGCAGCAGCGCCGAACAAAGGGCCAAACAUGCUCCGAGCCCGCUCCGUCCCCGCCUCGCGCUCCGGAGCCCGGGUUACCUGCUCAGAGCCAGCUGUGAUCUAAAGAAGCUUGACUCCCCUGCAGGAGAGAAAGGCCACCUGAAGAGAUCAAGCCCCUGAAGGAUGGGAGACUUGAAGGGGGAGAGAGGAGUGCAGCUCUCUCCCAGCCACCCCAGCUGAGUAGCCGUGUGAAGCCAUCUUCUAUCCUUAGCGCCAGUUGAGCUGGCUGGCAGAGACCAGCUGCACCUGCCAAGCCCCGCCCAAGAUGCAGAAUGAGAGAAAGAGAAGUAGCAGAGGGAGCAGGC